Molecule: long non-coding RNA, 299 nt
Organism: Telopea speciosissima
Lineage: Eukaryota; Viridiplantae; Streptophyta; Magnoliopsida; Proteales; Proteaceae
Exons: 2
Source: RefSeq, a predicted model, not a curated record
GUACAGAUAGAGAGACGGAAGAGAAAUUUGUGAAAGAGGAGAGAGAGAGAGAAGAGAGAGAGAGAGAGAGAGAGAGAGAGAGAGAGAGAAGGGAGGAAGACAAAAGGAUAAAGAAGCUUACCGAAUCAACUAGACAAGAAUCUGGUUGAAGUAGACCUUGACAGCAAGUAGAAUUUGUGACUCCACAAACAUUGACUUUGCUUUCUUUCCCAACUAAAUAACCUGAAGGAACACAAACAAAUACUACAUCUCUAACUAAAACAUGCUUGCAGCAAACAGAGCUAAUAAACUACUAAAAU